GUUGGUUUUACCCGAAGACGGUGCGCUAACCGCAAGGAGGCAGCCGGCCACGGUGUGGUCAAUGACUGGGGUGAAGUCGUAACAAGGUAGCCGGAGGUGAACCUGCAGAAGGAUCA
RNAcentral lists this ribosomal RNA (116 nucleotides) under uncultured eukaryote. Its description in RNAcentral is "partial small subunit ribosomal RNA". It matches the Rfam family "Bacterial small subunit ribosomal RNA", at positions 1410 to 1525 of the family's 1533-position model. The record is from RNAcentral.